Long non-coding RNA from Dreissena polymorpha, 3396 nucleotides. RefSeq lists it as uncharacterized. The record is from RefSeq and is a predicted model, not a curated record. The transcript has 6 exons. Lineage: Eukaryota; Metazoa; Mollusca; Bivalvia; Myida; Dreissenidae.
AUUUUGGCUAUUGCAAAGUGGAACACUGGUUUUUGUGUGUGUUGACUUUAUUUUUCAAAAUAUAUUACGAAACAAUCGUUGUUUUUAGUGUUAAUGGGUUUUUAAAGCAAUCAAGAAACAAAUGUAGUCGGACACCAUAUUCAUUGCACCACGGAAAACUGUUUGUGUUUCUUAAAUGCACACACAAAGCUGUCUCAUGUUUACUAAAACCUAAUGUAAUAUACAAGUUUUCAACGAGCAAUAAAUUACCUUUAUUAAAACGAACAUAUUUUUAAUAGUGAUUAUUUUAAUUAAUAUAAAUCGCAUAUAGUAAUACAUUUAAUUAUGUUCAGUCGUUUAAAUAGCAUACUAAGCGUUUUUGGUUUUCUAUAUCCUGUAUUCAAGCAUUCUGCCACCCAUCCCAAAGAGUCACGCUUCACUUCUCUUGCUGUUUGGAUUCAUCGGUUUUUCCCUCCUUAUCGCCGGAGCUUACAAGGCAUCCCAGAAGUACAUUUUCCACGAUGACGGAAACUUUGACACUACGUUCGACGCCGGUAGGCGCGUCAGCAUUAGUCUUACCGCCGUCACUGUGACAUCACAAUUGUUAUGGCCUUUAAAUUUCUUGCAGAGCUCAACAUUGACUAGCAAGGUAUCACUUUUAAAAUUGCACAAUUGCAUUAUUUCAAGUCGCAAUUCUGAUUGAUUAUUUUCGGAAAAUAAUUGUAAAACUCCACUGAUCGCUGUAAAUAUAACCAUAUCUGCAAACAAAGGCGUAAGGAACCUUUUCCGAACUUGUGUAAUAUUAAAUUGUGAAAACUACGAUACUAUGAAAAAUAUAUAAUUGAAAUAGUCUAUAAUGGUUAAAGCAGUAAAACCAAGUUGAAUUCAACUUUUUGCUUUUACUGAGACUCGAACCCGAAACUGUAAGCUUUAAGGAGCGAAUGCUAAUGUGCUACCACUAGACGCGUUUGAUAUCAAUGUAGCCUGGUUAACAUUUGUUCUGGAUUUUAUAGCUUUGAUUGUGAAAAUUGUCAUUGUGAUAAAACUUGAACACGUCAUUUUAAAGUUAUACCUUAUAGAUGAAAGAAAAGGUCUAUAAUGUAUUUGCAUACUUGAUUUUGAUUCAUUAAUAUCAUUCAUACAUAUGCUACAAAACUUGUUACUUGCUUAAGUGUCUGUUUUAUCAGGCGCGAAAAAUGAACUUUUUGUUCGUUACAGAUUAGGAUCGGUGCUUGCCUGUGGUCAUCAAUAGGGACCGUUGUCGGCAUGUUUAUGUUCCCUGUGUUCUCUCUGUAUCUUAAAAUCGCGCGGUUCCGGGAGCAAAGACGUACCCUCAGAUAGCAUACGCAAGAUUUGGAAAGUCAGCGCACAUUAUAUUCUGCCUUGUUGCGCUUUUCUCUAGUCUUAUUGUGACCACAAAUAUGCUUAUGGCCGGCAAAUCCACAUUAGCGGUUCUUGUAAAGGACACAAACAAAGAGUUUAUAUUUCUGAUGUAAGCAGUACUAUUUGGAUCAUACUGCAUGAUUAGUGGCCUCAGAACCAGGUUUUAUAUAUCGUACAUAAACACUGCUCUGACCUUUAUAUCAUUGUCUGUGUAUGUCCUGUACUCCGUUUAUUAUCCGCUAGAAGAAAAUAAGGCACACACAUCAUUUCAGGCGUUUUACAACGCUGCAGUUUGUGUCGAAGGUCUAGACGGUAACUCUAAUAAUUCGUUAGCAACGUUCCGUUCAAAAUCAGGAAUUGUUCUUGGAGUAGUUUUGCUUUUUAUGACGACCUCAAUAGUUUUUACUGACCAAGCAAACUGGCAGAGCCGAAUUGCAGCAAAACCAUCACAGGGCGUUGUAGGCUUCUUUCUAGCAGCGUACAUCUGGUUUUUGGUCGAAACCGUGCUCGCCAUUACGACAUCUAUGACCUACCUCUCACUUAGCUUGACGAAUUCAACACAUGUGUUAUCUGCUAUAGAGAGUGACAAUGGUUACAUCACACCGUACGUAAUGCAGUUUAUAAUGGGGGACGCUGGUGCAUAUCUCUUACCUACGAUGCUGAUGAUGACGGUAAUGGCUACUGGAUCUGGCCAACUGAUGGGAAUAUCCUCUAUUCUUAUCUACGAUGUCUACAAGACAAAUGUUAAUCCGUUCAGGUAUCUUAAAACUCCUACAAGCUGUGUCUUAUGUGGCAAAGAGAGACGCCUCACUGAAACUCAAACAAAUGAUGCAGAAACAACGUGCACAUGCACAUCAGUUAUUGGAUGCAAAGAUUGCGACGAAGAUAUAGAAUUACGUGAUAAACAUGGAACGGAAAAAGUCACCUAUACAUGUUUGACGCAUGGCGAAUACAGAAAGUAUGAGGAUUGACUGAUGAGAUACAAGAGUCCUGGUGCAUGUUGUGUGUUACAAUUCUCAUUGUGCCGUACGGUCUCGUCAUAUCCGAACCAAAUUUGAAUGUCAACUGGGCAUUUCUGUGUCUACAAGGAUUAACAUGUCCGUUCUUGGUACCACUGCUUACUACCAUAUCCUGGUCAAUAACAACGGCCAAAGGUGCCAUUGCUGGUUGCAUUUCUGGAUUGACGGCAUCUCUUGCUGGAUUGAUGAUCAUGGCGUCCACCUACAAAAAUGGGCUUGCGAAUUUCUACGUGAAUACCGCACAGGACUUCAGCCUUUUGGCCGCUACGAUUUUCGGUAUAGUUGUAAGCACCAUGGCAACUAUAGGUGUCUCACUCUGUACCAUAGCAUCAAAUUGGACAGACGAAAAGGAAAAGGGCGAAAUGGAAUGGGCAAAAACAACCAAUAUUGACAACCCGCUAAGUGCGUUUCGUUUGGUCUACGAGGAAGAAUUAGCAGAAAUAGAGAGUGGGUCUAUUAUAACCUCAUUGAUUAUGGAUAAGGUAUUCCGGAAAGCUCGUUUUGUUGCAAUAGAAGGCGGGGCAUUGAGUAUUAUGUUUUCCCUCGUAAAAUUACCCGCCAUUCCGCUAAAUUUCGAUAGUCUCACUUUUGAACAGUUUUCGUCAUGGCUCAAGACGUUCCAGAUAUAUUGCUUCGUGUGCACCUUUGCUUUGGUUGUUGUUCCUCCAUUUGAAGAAGGUUAUCAGAUGUGGGCAAGGUACAAACAGAGUAAGGCCACCAGGCGUAAGAAAAAAUGGAAACCAAAUUCAACAGAACAAUAUCAUAUCAAGAAGAAGAUUUAUUGUGUUGAACAUUUAAUGGAUUUUCAUUAAAACAGAAAAAGUAACAAACCUGAAAUCUGGCCGUUGGUACCUUUUACCGAUAUGGGAUAUAUUUGUAGAUUUUUACCGAUAUGGAUCUUCAUGUUAAAACGUUGAUGACAACAAUACAUGUCACCCAGGCAGUUUCUUCCUGUGUUUAUAUUGAGCUUUGUCGAACUUUAAAAACGUGUGUCUGAUUAAAAUGUCAUGAGUGA